AUGAACGCUGGCGGUAUGCUUUACCCAUGCAAGUCGUACGAGAGUUUUUAACUCAAGUGGCGGACGGGUGAGUAACACGUAAGAAUUUACCUUUAGGAGGGGGAUAACAACUGGAAACGGUUGCUAAUACCCCAUAUGCUUUCGAGUGAAAUGGAUUUUUCCGCCUAAAGAGGAGCUUGCGGCUGAUUAGCUUGUUGGUGAGGUAAUGGCUCACCAAGGCGACGAUCAGUAUCUGGUUUGAGAGGACGAUCAGACACACUGGAACUGAGACACGGUCCAGACUCCUACGGGAGGCAGCAGUGGGGAAUUUUCCGCAAUGGGCGAAAGCCUGACGGAGCAAUACCGCGUGAGGGAUGACGGCCUAUGGGUUGUAAACCUCUUUUUUCAGGGAGGAAUAAAUGACGUGUACCUGAGGAAUAAGCAUCGGCUAACUCCGUGCCAGCAGCCGCGGUAAGACGGAGGAUGCAAGUGUUAUCCGGAAUCACUGGGCGUAAAGCGUCUGUAGGUGGUCAAAUAAGUCAACUGUUAAAUCUUGAGGCUCAACCUCAAAAUCGCAGUCGAAACUAUUAGACUAGAGUAUAGUAGGGGUAAAGGGAAUUUCCAGUGGAGCGGUGAAAUGCGUAGAGAUUGGAAAGAACACCGAUGGCGAAGGCACUUUACUGGGCUAUUACUAACACUCAGAGACGAAAGCUAGGGUAGCAAAUGGGAUUAGAUACCCCAGUAGUCCUAGCCGUAAACAAUGGAUACUAGAUGUUGAACAGAUCGACCCUGUGCAGUAUCAAAGCUAAGCGCGUUAAG
RNAcentral lists this ribosomal RNA (798 nucleotides) under uncultured bacterium. Its description in RNAcentral is "bacterial SSU rRNA". It matches the Rfam family "Bacterial small subunit ribosomal RNA", at positions 29 to 864 of the family's 1533-position model. The record is from RNAcentral.